This 670-nucleotide ribosomal RNA is filed under the name Nothobranchius pienaari. Its description in RNAcentral is "partial 16S ribosomal RNA". The stretch from base 256 to 670 matches the Rfam family "Bacterial large subunit ribosomal RNA", at positions 568 to 1141 of the family's 2925-position model. The record is from RNAcentral. Lineage: Eukaryota; Metazoa; Chordata; Actinopteri; Cyprinodontiformes; Nothobranchiidae.
GUAGCUAAACUAGAAAAGCGUUUCACUUACACCGAAUAGCUAUCCGUGCAAAUCGGAUCACUCUGACACUUAAAAGCUAGCUAUAAGUAAUAACUAACAAAUAUUUUUAAUGUACAUAUUGAAACACCAAAAGUCUUUAUUAAACCAUUUUACACAUCUUAGUAUAGGCGAUAGAAAAGGAAAUUUUUAGCUAUAGAUCUUAGUACCGUAAGGGAAUGCUGAAAGAGAAAUGAAACAACUCAGUAAAGUAAAAUAAAGCAGAGAUUAAUACUCGUACCUUUUGCAUCAUGAUUUAGCAAGAAUAAUUAAGCAAAAUGUUUUUUAGUUUAUGCCCCCGAAACUAAGUGAGCUACUCCGAAACAGCCUAUUAAUAGGGCAAACACAUCUCUGUGGCAAAAGAGUGUGAAGAUUUCUGAGUAGAGGUGACAGACCUACCGAACUUAGUUAUAGCUGGUUGUCUGAGACUUAAAUAGAAGUUUAGCCUCUAACUUUCUAAAUUUAAUUAUGAUCCCUUCAUCACAAUAAUAAUAGAAUGUUAAAGAGUUAUUCAUAAGAGGUUCAGCCCUUAUGAAAAAGGAUACAACCUUAACAGGUGAUUAAUGAACAUAUAACACAAGGUCAAUGUUUUAGUGGGCCUAAAAGCAGCCACCUAAGAAAAAAGCGUUAAAGC